RNAcentral lists this unclassified non-coding RNA (2006 nucleotides) under Hevea brasiliensis (rubber tree). Lineage: Eukaryota; Viridiplantae; Streptophyta; Magnoliopsida; Malpighiales; Euphorbiaceae. The record is from RNAcentral.
UCCACAUUUAUUAUAUCAAUCCAUUACACAUGUGAAACCUAUAUGGUUUUAUUCACAACCUACAUAAUAUAUAAAAAUAUUUACAACCACAAAACUUAUUUUUCACAUCCAUGUAAUUUAUACAAUUUAAAUAAUUAUACAUUAAAAGAUUAUAUUUCCAAAUCAAAAUGCCUAGUACAAUGUAAUCUUAUAAUGUGUACAAAAAUCACAUCAUGUCAUCCCUUGUCUUGAGCAAAAUAUUUCUCUUGCCCUUCACCCCCGUGUCGAUUCUUGAUCUUUACUUUUAUUACUUACGAAAAGUUCAAAUAAUUUUCCGCUAAGCAAAAUGCUUAGUGGUGCUAUAACUUAAAAAUAACACAUCAUGCCAUAUGUGUGCAAGCUAAACAUACAUAGUCUCAUGAAAAAUGCUUCUACUAGCUUUAGUUCAAUAGUACUAAAUUCACUCCCACACAACCCAUGGAAUUUGACAUAGCAAUUAACCACAUAAAAUAAUUAUAAUUAUAGUUCAUAGUGUCAUGAAUAAUUCUUUACAUGCAUCAUUUCAUUUGUUUCAUUAGCCCAAUUAUAAUGCCUAGAUGACUCAAGUGACAAGUAAUCAUAUCAUGGCAUAAAGCCAAGUAAUUGUGCACAAUUUCAAGUAUUGAUUUGUCAAUUUUCUCAUCAUGUAACCUAGCUUUAGGCUUAUAAGGGGCAUACAUAUUAUGAAUAUUACAUGAAAUUUAUUCAAUCAAUCAUGCUCACCAAUUCCCUUUUUCAUUCACAACUUAUAUGGAAUAACUACCGUGAAAAUCACAAUUUCCCAACUCAAGUCAAACUGGACAGUAGGAGCAGUCACUUUGAAAUUUAACUAAAAAUCAUAGAAACAAGGUAUCAUCAUCAUAUUCUCCAGAAUUCAAGUUCCAUAUGUCCAUUUCAAUUUUUAGUUUGAAUCAUCUCAAAAUCUGGGCUACAACUCAAGUUAUAAAUGAAAAUGUGCAAACUAUUCUGAACUCCGGUCAUAGUCAGAGCAGUAACAAAAAAUGCAAAAAUUUCACCAUGCAGCUGACUAAAUCAAUUUUUUGUUAUAACUACAAAGUUAUAGAGCAUUCAAUAAGCUUUUUAAUGGUUCAAGAAUCACCCUAUUUCAAGUUUUAUAGCUCAAGUUAUGAAUUUUUAAAAUCGAGUGUUCUAUUCUAGAAAAUUUCUAGGCAGUUUUUCAAUUUUGAGCAAUAAAAAGUUUUGCCUUAAAACCUUAUCUUAAUAGAGGAAUUAGGGUUUGCACGAAACUACAAAGUUUUAGGGCACUCUCUAAAGUUUUCAUUGACAUAAAGAUCACCAAAAUCCAAUAUUUCUAACUAAAGUUAUGAAUUUUCAAAGUAAUCUGGUCCUAAAUCUCCUACUGGCAUAUUAGGGUUUUCAGUACUUCUUCAAGUCCCAAAUCAUUUCUAUCCUAGUGUAUCCAAGAAAUUCCUACUUAACCAUGACAAAAGAAUAGAGUUAUGGCACUAACUUCUUUUGAAUACCAGCUGCUGCCCCUUUCUUUUUAAGUCUCCACAAAAUACUUCACAGCUUGAAUCUUCACCUCUUCAAGCUUGAAUCUUCACCUCUUCUUGUUACCUUUUGCUUGGCUACUAUGGUGAUGAUGUUUUAAGGUUUUUGGCUUGGUGUUUCUCCUUCUAACUUCAGAGGAAAUGGGCUGUUAAGAGGACAAAAGAAGAAAGAAAGAAGAUGAGGUAGUGGCUGGCCAAUUGAAGAAAAUAAGGAAGGGAAGUUUUUGGCUUUAUUUAAAAAGUUUUGAUGUGUUUUCUAAUUUUGAUUGGCUGCCUUUUUAUUUUUUCUUUCUUUUUUUUUUCCAUUUUCAAUUUUCCCAUCAACUUAUUAAUUUAUUCAAGUCACUCCUUUUAUCAUUUACCCCUUUCAAACAAGUCCCCUGGUCCAUUCUUUCCUAAUUUCUUCUCCACUUUCUAAAUUAUUUGAUUUAGUCUUCAUAAUUAAGUUUUAAUUUUCACAUAAUUAAUUAUGUCAUA